This 255-nucleotide ribosomal RNA is filed under the name Escherichia coli. RNAcentral's name for it is "partial 23S ribosomal RNA". It matches the Rfam family "Bacterial large subunit ribosomal RNA", at positions 1088 to 1342 of the family's 2925-position model. The record is from RNAcentral. Lineage: Bacteria; Pseudomonadati; Pseudomonadota; Gammaproteobacteria; Enterobacterales; Enterobacteriaceae.
GACAGCCAGGAUGUUGGCUUAGAAGCAGCCAUCAUUUAAAGAAAGCGUAAUAGCUCACUGGUCGAGUCGGCCUGCGCGGAAGAUGUAACGGGGCUAAACCAUGCACCGAAGCUGCGGCAGCGACACUAUGUGUUGUUGGGUAGGGGAGCGUUCUGUAAGCCUGCGAAGGUGUGCUGUGAGGCAUGCUGGAGGUAUCAGAAGUGCGAAUGCUGACAUAAGUAACGAUAAAGCGGGUGAAAAGCCCGCUCGCCGGAA